This 254-nucleotide ribosomal RNA is filed under the name uncultured bacterium. Its description in RNAcentral is "partial 16S ribosomal RNA". It matches the Rfam family "Bacterial small subunit ribosomal RNA", at positions 524 to 776 of the family's 1533-position model. The record is from RNAcentral.
UACGUAGGGGCAAGCGUUGUCCGGAAUCAUUGGGCGUAAAGAGCGUGUAGGCGGCUUGCUAAGUCUUGCGUGAAAUCUCGGGGCUCAACCCCGAGCGGUCGUGGGAAACUGGCAGGCUAGAGUGCGGGAGAGGAGAAUGGAAUUCCUGGUGUAGCGGUGAAAUGCGCAGAUAUCAGGAAGAACACCCGGUGGCGAAGGCGGUUCUCUGGAACGCAACUGACGCUGGAGACGCGAAAGCGUGGGGAGCAAACAGG